GACACCUGGCUCCGUGGUCUAGAGGUACUUGCCUCAAAACUUCGGGGUCCCGGGUUCGAUUCCCGGUCGAGGAACU
Rhamnusium bicolor is the source of this 76-nucleotide non-coding RNA. The record is from the annotation of a GenBank genome assembly. Lineage: Eukaryota; Metazoa; Arthropoda; Insecta; Coleoptera; Cerambycidae.